GGGCUCGUAGCUCAGUCUGGUUAGAGUGCCAGUCUUAUAAGCUGGUGGUCGCCGGUUCAAAUCCGGUCGAGCCCA
RNAcentral lists this transfer RNA (75 nucleotides) under Candidatus Woesearchaeota archaeon. RNAcentral's name for it is "tRNA-Ile". It matches the Rfam family "tRNA". Rfam says of the family: Transfer RNA (tRNA) molecules are approximately 80 nucleotides in length. Their secondary structure includes four short double-helical elements and three loops (D, anti-codon, and T loops). Lineage: Archaea; Nanobdellati; Candidatus Woesearchaeota. The record is from RNAcentral.